Molecule: ribosomal RNA, 192 nt
Filed under: Triticum aestivum (bread wheat)
Lineage: Eukaryota; Viridiplantae; Streptophyta; Magnoliopsida; Poales; Poaceae
Description: partial small subunit ribosomal RNA
Source: RNAcentral
AUGGUUUGGAAAACUUGGGCGCCACCAAAGGCUAAAUUCUUUGCUUGGUUGGCUAUCCAAGAUAGAAUUUGGACUGCGAAUAGGCUACAAAAACAUGAAUGGCCAAAUUGUGGACUUUGCGCCAUUUGCAAGCGCGAGCGAGAAAGCAGACCACGUCUCUUCUUCAAAUGUUGCUUCCCUAUUAGGCUAUGA